Long non-coding RNA from Tachysurus fulvidraco (yellow catfish), 1036 nucleotides. RefSeq lists it as uncharacterized. The record is from RefSeq and is a predicted model, not a curated record. The transcript has 3 exons. Lineage: Eukaryota; Metazoa; Chordata; Actinopteri; Siluriformes; Bagridae.
GGCUGGUUGUCGACCCGACAACCUUCAACCUCAGAGGCAUGUCACAUGAUCUGACUUCCAAUUCUACUUCUAGAUUCAGAUUAUGGAUGAAAGUGAAUGUGACCCUACAGGAUGAUCUUCCAGGAUAACACAUAACACAUCGUGGGAUCAGUUAAAAGAUGUUUUUAAGGUCCUUCGUCCGUCGGAAUGUCUUCGGCCAUCUUGAAUUUAGUUUUCUCACCCAGUGUCAGUGCCUGGUAGCCCCGCCCCUCUUUUUCCGAGCCCAACAUUCCAUGCUUAAUUUUUUCUCCUGAAGAAGUGAACUAUCCAGGUUCUUGAAAUGCUCUUCUUCUUCUUCUUCUCCUUCUUCUUCUUCUUCUUCUCCUCCUCCUCCUCCUCCACCUCCUUCUGUUUGUAAUAUUCACCCUGAACAUGUGACUCUCACUAUUUAUCACACACAAUGCUGUAGAUAGCGUUCGAACUAAACGAAGCCAACACACACAACAUACAACACCUUCACACAGUCACAAGUCCAGAGAGAGCAAGGUGACUUUCCCGGCACUUUGCUCGGCACGCAUGCAGGCGCGUGUAAUCUUUUUACCCUCUUGCCCCGGAGCCCAAGGUGACUGCACAAGCCCGGAGUUGUCACACGCUAUCGGGAUCAAAGCGAGUUUGACUGGAACGCCCCAGGGGUGAAGGGAAAGCGCCGGCUUGUUUCGGAGCGGAUCGGUGAAGGAGAAGAUGGAGGCCGCAGAUGGGACGCGUCGCCCGAUGUUGAUGAAAGUGAUGAAGUUUGGCAUCCUCGUCUGUGAUGAGAGCUCCCUCUCCACUCCGCAGCUUCGGGAAGAGGAAUAAGGAGCCUGGAAUAAAGACAGAAACACAGUCAGAGACACCGGUAUAGGAAAUGAAUCGGUAUCUUCUGACCAAUCGGGAUCCAGAAUUCAAGAGCACUGUGGUGGACAUGGAAGUGAGGUCACAAAUAUAUCCGAGGCUCCAAAUGUGUCUGUGGGGUGUAUCAGAGCGCAAAAGGUGACAGGAGGACAGUAAGGUGGAUUGU